GCUGGGUGAGGUGGCACAUGCCUGUAAUCUCAGAGACUUGAGAGGCUGAGGCAGGAGGAUCACAAAUUGGAGGCCAGCCUCAGCAACUUAGUGAAACCCUGUCUCAA
This 107-nucleotide small RNA is filed under the name Marmota monax (woodchuck). The record is from RNAcentral. Lineage: Eukaryota; Metazoa; Chordata; Mammalia; Rodentia; Sciuridae.